AACAACUAUAUUGUUUGUGUAGAAUGCAUUAGCCUCAUUGUAGGUGAAAUAACUAUACAACUUUCAACAACGGAUCUCUUGGCUCUCGCAUCGAUGAAGAACGCAGCGAAAUGCGAUAAGUAAUGUGAAUUGCAGAAUUCAGUGAAUCAUCGAAUCUUUGAACGCACCUUGCACUCCUUGGUAUUCCGAGGAGUAUGCCUGUUUGAGUGUCA
RNAcentral lists this ribosomal RNA (212 nucleotides) under Pyrrhoderma noxium. Its description in RNAcentral is "5.8S ribosomal RNA". The stretch from base 59 to 212 matches the Rfam family "5.8S ribosomal RNA". From Rfam's summary of the family: 5.8S ribosomal RNA (5.8S rRNA) is a component of the large subunit of the eukaryotic ribosome. The record is from RNAcentral. Lineage: Eukaryota; Fungi; Basidiomycota; Agaricomycetes; Hymenochaetales; Hymenochaetaceae.